GGCCUGUCUUUGGCCAUAUGUUAUGCUACAGCUGGCUUUUAAGCUUCCUUCUUCAAAAUAAUGCUUGGCUGUUAAUUAUGUGAAGGGUCAAAGUAAAGCAGGCUAAGAACAAAAACCUGAGGAAUACUGAAUUGAAUUGCAUAAAAAAUACAACAUUUUGUCUUUGAUCCAAGUGGAAGUACUCUGAGGACUCCUGCUUUAGGAAGCAGCUGAGCUCCGAUAUAAGAUGUGUUGAGUCAACAGGCUGGCCUUGGGAGCCUCACCCUUCCACGGGUGUAGGGUAUAAAUUCUGAUGCUCUGCUUCAUUGGCACCUCUUGUGCAAGAUGGGUACAAACAAGAUCCUGCUUUUCCUCUUAAGCGCAGCAAUUCUGGAUGCCACCUCAGAAACAACAACUGAAUACCCAUGGAGAACUGCACAAGCAACAACUGGAUACCCGAGUACCUACCCAUGGAGAACUACAUUUCCCACGUACACAACCACAGAUGUC
RNAcentral lists this long non-coding RNA (489 nucleotides) under Gallus gallus (chicken). RNAcentral's name for it is "lncRNA (ENSGALG00010003058.1)". The record is from RNAcentral. Lineage: Eukaryota; Metazoa; Chordata; Aves; Galliformes; Phasianidae.